CGUGAGUGAUGAAGGUUUCGGAUCGUAAAACUCUGUUGUUAGGGAGGAACAAGUACCGUUCGAACAGGGCGGUACCUUGACGGUACCUAACCAGAAAGCCACGGCUAACUACGUGCCAGCAGCCGCGGUAAUACGUAGGUGGCAAGCGUUGUCCGGAAUUAUUGGGCGUAAAGCGCGCGCAGGCGGUUUCUUAAGUCUGAUGUGAAAGCCCCCGGCUCAACCGGGGAGGGUCAUUGGAAACUGGGGAACUUGAGUGCAGAAGAGGAGAGUGGAAUUCCACGUGUAGCGGUGAAAUGCGUAGAGAUGUGGAGGAACACCAGUGGCGAAGGCGACUCUCUGGUCUGAUACUGACGCUGAGGCGCGAAAGCGUGGGGAGCGAACAGGAUUAGAUACCCUGGUAGUCCACGCCCGUAAACGAUGAGUGCUACGUGUUCGAGGGUUUCCGACCUUUAGUGCUGCAGCUAACGCAUUACGCACUCCGCCUGCGGAGUACGGUCGCAC
RNAcentral lists this ribosomal RNA (501 nucleotides) under uncultured bacterium. RNAcentral's name for it is "bacterial SSU rRNA". It matches the Rfam family "Bacterial small subunit ribosomal RNA", at positions 400 to 891 of the family's 1533-position model. The record is from RNAcentral.